GUAGGGAAUAUUGCGCAAUGGGGGAAACCCUGACGCAGCGACGCCGCGUGAGUGAUGAAGGCCUUCGGGUCGUAAAGCUCUGUUGCAGGGGAAUAAAAAAAUGAAGGUACCCUGUGAGGAAGGAUCGGCUAACUUCGUGCCAGCAGCCGCGGUAAGACGAGGGAUCCUAGCGUUGCUCGGAAUCAUUGGGCGUAAAGAGGGCGUAGGUGGCUUGGUAAGUCAGGUGUGAAAGCCCAGGGCCCAACCCUGGAAGUGCAUUUGAUACUGCUGAGCUUGAGUGUCGGAGAGGUUACCGGAAUACCUGGUGUAGUGGUGAAAUACGUAGAUAUCAGGUGGAACACCGGAGGCGAAGGCGGGUAACUGGACGAACACUGACACUGAGGCCCGAAAGCGUGGGGAUCAAACAGGAUUAGAAACCCCAGUAGUCC
This 428-nucleotide ribosomal RNA is filed under the name uncultured bacterium. Its description in RNAcentral is "partial 16S ribosomal RNA". It matches the Rfam family "Bacterial small subunit ribosomal RNA", at positions 354 to 796 of the family's 1533-position model. The record is from RNAcentral.